Long non-coding RNA from Dreissena polymorpha, 2066 nucleotides. RefSeq lists it as uncharacterized. The transcript has 4 exons. NCBI's taxonomy places the organism in Eukaryota, Metazoa, Mollusca, Bivalvia, Myida, Dreissenidae. The record is from RefSeq and is a predicted model, not a curated record.
UGUGUCUAACUUCAUGUCACAUGGUGACUUGCCUUAAGUAAAAAACCUUGUAGUUAUGAAUAGAAUGAUCUCCUGCUGAUGCAGCUAGAGUUUCACUGUGUUGACAUGUUAUUUUACAGGACAACUUGUCAAUGAACAAGGAAUCCUUUUCUGAAAAUCUCACCCAGCUAAUAAACUGUGCGAAUGCGCCAAACGCUUACCCUUCAGAUAAAUGUGAUUACAGGCCAAAGGUCAAAUUGGUACCAACUGGGCAGCAUCCUCAGUCGUGUGGGCAGGUUCAUGAUGCACCAUUGUCUCAAUAUAUCUAUGAACAUCCUAAUCGCACAGUAUUAGUACAGCAACAUGACCUGCAAGGUGGGGAUGUGAAACAAUUAUAAAUAAAUCCCACAAAUCAAGGAGAGGUUAUUGUGUAAGUUGUUUAGUCAGAGGUGUGUUUUGUCGUAUAAUGUAAAAAGAUGUGUAUCAAACCCCAUGUACAGUUUUUUCAAGGCAUUUGAUUGGAACUUCAAUUGUUUGAAUCCCUUGCACUGUUGUUAAGUGGUCAUUUUGUGACAAAACUCUAUCUUUUCAUUGGCAAAGUCUCUAUUUUGCAUUGUAAUGAUGCACUGUCUCUAUAUCUCACCAAACAUUGGAAAUCAGGAGCUGUCUAAGAUAUAUUCUAUUCAGGGUUAUGACUACAUUUCGCCCAAAGUUGUGCUGUAACUUAUAUUAUAUUCAGGGUUAUAACUAACAUAGUGCCCUCAGUUGCGCAAAGUUGUUAAAAUAGUUGUGUCUAAAAGCAAAGAAAGCAUAAUAAUUUGUAUCACAUGCAAUCAAUCGUGUUCAUUAAGGAACCUUCGUGAAAUAUUAUGUUGCAUUAUGACAAAUUCCCCAGUAUGUAUGUCUUUCAGUUGUACGUUUUCAGUGUCUGGCAGUAUCCUAGCAACCAACCCACGUGGACACAGCAGCAAAAAUAGAAUCAGCAGCAGUCCUGUAAAGCAUCCUAGGGUGCCUAGCAAUUUAAUCCUCCACUAUGACCUUGUCCUUACCCCAGAACUCACCUGGUGGUCAGGUUUGAGAUCACAUCCGCCUGGGUGGUCAUGGCAGUAAGAAAGUAAAUCUGGAUAGCAGAGCGUUGAGUUGGUCUGGAAGCAUUUGCUGUCACAGUUCCAUGGUGCAGGACCAUCAGUCUAAGAACAUCUUGCAGAGCUAUCCUUUGAUGCCAAUUGAUGAAAUCAAACACCAAUCCCCAAUCCCAAACACAGCCUGUUGCAGCAGCUGUUACCAUAUUGACCCAGGUCAACCCUAAGAAGCUCAGAUACAGAUACUGUUUUAUAAAUGCUAGUGUCUUGGUACUUCGUGGUCUGUUAAGCACUAACUCUAACAAGUCUCUUCUUUGAAUUGUGUGGCGGGUGGACAAUGAAUUUCCUUGUUCUAAUUGAAAUGGCAGAAUGACAAAUCACAACAAUUUCAGUGGAAAGCCAGAAAGUCAUGUGGCCAGCCACGUUUUUUAUUUGACCAGCCAAGGUGUGUUAUGUGACCAGCCAAUGUGUGUUAUGUGACCAGUCAAGGUGUGUUAUGUGACCAGUCAAGGUGUGUUAUGUGACCAGUCAAGGUGUGUUAUGUGACCAGCCAAGGUGUGUUCAAAGAAAAACAUUAUUACAUGUCUCAUGGGAACUAUGAUGCUGUCAGUCAUUUAAUGUUAAAGGCUUUGGUUAAAUAUAGUAUGUAAAGUUGUAUUAUAAGCACACAUAUUGCACAUCUAUCCACUUACUUCAUCUGUAUUAUGAAACUUUCACUACAUAUUUUGAUACUGAUUAUGAUAAAUGAAUGGAAAAAAAAUACCCUAGAUUUUUUUGUCAAUGAUUUUAAGAUUGUCAAAUCUGUUCAAAUGAUGCAGGUAACUUGAACAAAAUUGGGGAAAAUUGCAUUAAUUGCAUGUAAUAAGGCAGUUUUAGGUUUAUGUGCUUUUGCAAGUAAUAAAAAUGUGCUUUUUAAAAGAAUUGUUCAGAAAUGUUGAAUUUUUGUAUGCUUCAGUUUUGAUCGGUCUAUCAAUUUUCUGAAUACAAUAUAUACUCAACAGUUAA